UUGUUUUGCUCAAUCUCUGGCGUGGACGGCAUCACUGAUUUUCAGGCCUUUUUUGAGACAUGAAGUCACGCACUCCUUAAAAUUCGAUUCCUUUAUUCCACAGAAUUCACUCGAGUGCAACCAAGGACACAGCCCGAGCGUUGGAUAGUGGUCGCCAUCUUUUACUUGUGGACUGUUAGAAUGACUGAAAAGCUAUUCACAUGUGCUUCUCCUGUUAUUUUGGUGAAAACGUUUCUCCAAAAAUUUCUUCCGUCCCUUUGGAAUCUCGCAAGUCCCGUAAAAAAAAUGAGCAGGGAUCCCGUCUACUCAAAAAGCCUAUUUCACAUAUUCAGACAAGAGUUUACGCCACCCUUUUCCCACUGAUCCGUGUGUAAAGUCUGCCUCACAGCCUGGCCGAUGCCACUCAAGUUCUGACCUGUAACUUUGACCCUCAGGUCAAAGAAAUCUUUCUCAAGAGGAUUUGAAGAGCUCCGGAUGGGAAAGUAACCCCCGAAUGCCUCUAACUAAACUCACGUCUCGGAUCUUAACCUCGCGGCCUCACAUCUGUUUCGAGGGAAAAAGGGCGUUCGGACUCAAACGGAAGGUAGAUUAUAAACUUCUGGUGUGCAUCAAAAGAUUGACCAGCAAAGCCUGAAGAUGUUUCCAUGUUCAAUGGCAUCAAAGUGACAGCAGCCUUGAUCACAUCCUGCACCUGAUGCCAAGAACAUAUGAAUGAAAAUGGAAGAACUACUCCGCACUUCUUCAAAAUAGUGCCAUUACAUCUUUUAUGUCUACCUGGGAGGACCGACAGGACCUUGAUGUGGCAGAUAUGGUGCUCAAGUGGAUGUUAAUCACAGAACCAGUUGCCUCAGCAGCAGGAGGGCCGCCAACGUGUAACAUCGCCUUCUCAUUGCUAUUGUACCGAGGUCUUCUGAUCUUGCUGGAGUGAUGACAGACUGUUACUUCUACUCAGGCAAGUUCCGAGUCAUCGGCUAUUAUUUUGACGAGGCACACUGAUUACAGAGUUGAAAGGUUAAAAGGCUAGGCCAGCAUUUAUUGCCCAUCCUUAAAUAACCCGAGGGCAGCUAAGAAUCACCUACAUUGCUGUGGGUCUGGAGUCAUAUGUAGACCAGAGCAGUUCUCAUUGAUAUAGCAUCUUCAACAAAGAAAAUAUCCCAAAUCACUUCAUAUGGUUGCAAUGAUGAAAAUGAACACUGGACCAAUAUGAAGAUGUUGAGGAAGAGUGCAGGUAAUCGGGAAGGUGACCUUUAUUGGACCAUAAUAAGGGUUUGCGUUGGUGGUAUAUCAAGAAUGCUCUCGUGUUGCCCAGAACUUAAUAGGUGAAAUACCAAAAAAUGAUUGCCACUGAGGAUGGUUCAAAAAGAUCCUAGCAUUAAGGAAAUCACCGCAGAAAGUGACUACAAAUUAAAUACUUCAAUAAUUGUUUAUAAACCCUUCCAUAACUUGGUAACCUCCUCCAGCAGGUCAAUACUUACAAGCAUUCCAUAUUCCACCAGUUUGUGUCUCUUAUUCAUCCUCUUUCUUUUUACAUCAAUCCAUCAUUGGCUGCUAUGCCUUGAACUUCCUAUGCUCUUAGCUCUCGACUUCCCUCUCUAAACCUUUCUGUCACUCUCUCCUCAUUUAAGAUGCUCCUGAAAAACUAUUUGACUAAGCUUUCACUUACCUGUCCUUAUAUUUCCUCAUGUGGCUUCGGUCAAAUUUUGCUUGAUACUCACACCAAUACAGCAGACAGUUUAAUAUGUUAAAGGUGCUAUGUAAAUGCAAAUUCUUGUUGCUCUUUUUCCAGUUUGUGUGCAUGGCCCAGAAAUUGUAUCUUGCUAUCAUCACAUCCACCACACUGCACAUCCCAAUUUGCAGCCACAAAUAGUUGCAAGGAGAAUCAGCCACUAGGAAUCUCACGGCUGUGUGAAUGAAUCAUGCUGGAAAUAUGUUACAACGUUAUUUACACAGUUUAGAUUCUACCUUGUGUGACUGGAUUUUGUUUUGAACCGUCACUGGAUGACAUCUGGAGACAACUUUUUAAUUCCAACAGACAAGAGGUGACAUGAAGUUUUCAAGUCCCUAAACUGUUUUUUUUAAGCUUCACAGCUUGAAUACUGUAAAAGCCUUAAGAAAAGGGGGUAAAACUGCAACUUCAUCAGUUUUAUUGCUUAAUUGCCAACGACCAGCAUAUUACGUGUGACCUCUGACAAUUUAAGAAGGGAGCUCAGAUUACACCAGAUUACCUGCAGCAAACAGAAAGCUCGGACUCAUUUUAAAACCAUACGGGAACAGAUGAUAACUUCAAACCAUAACAGAAAAUCUUCAGGGUCAAUAAGUAAGAUGCUUUAAGUCCACAUUUAAUCACACAAUCUCCUUAAGAAAAUCUCUUCAAGUCAAAUUUGCACUUUUAAAGCAAUCCCGAUGACUCAUUAAAUUUAAAGUCAAAACAGAUAGAGGCAUAUUGACGGUACAAAAGGCCCGAGGAUUCAUGCACAAGUCUGCACUGAACCAACUGAUCAAAGUUGGGUUUGCAGGCAGGUCAAGUGGCACAAUCGGCAACCUUGAUGGAAUCUUCCAGCCCAAAGGGCAGCAAGCCUGAAGACUGGAAGGUAGUGUAGGCAGUGUGGUGGUAUCCCAGGCAACACCAAUCUACCACCGUCCACCUAAAUUAAGUUCUGUGUGGGAAAAUCCAAGCUCAAAAUAACUGCUCCAUUGUCACCCGAGGCCUCCAUGUAGUCAAUUAAUGACCACAUGAAGACCACUUAAUCCAUUUCCACCUGUGUGGUAAUUAAUUCAUCCAGAGGGGUGUGUCAAAAGAAAAGUCUACCCAUCUGAAUUGUAAACCAGUGCAGGGAAGGGUAUCGACUGAGUAGAGAGGUCCUUCAAAACACACUGAUUUGUGCGCAAAUGAGGCUCUAAAUUUAGGGCAGAGGAUGGCUACUGAGAGACAUCUUCCAGUCCUUGCUUCCAGCACCGCUGACCCCAACCUCAGAAAUCCAUCCCAUCCUAAAAAAGCAAUUAGCUGACACCUUGGCCGUUUAAUGUUGGUUGUCUGCCUUCUGUAGCCUUCCCAAAUGCAUUUACGAAAAUGACAGCUGAGUCUCUGAUCAGCUGGCCACAUUUUCUGAUCAGAACAUUUGGUCCUCCACCUCCAGGGAAUUAUUUGGAGGAAGAUAUGCUAAGUAUUAUUUUCAAGGUUCAGCUUGGGUGAUAUGCCAGCCCUUCGGCAAGUGACUGAGCCAUCCAAUAAAACUUAAAAUUUUCACCUCCAAGCUAGAAAGAGGGAAUGAUAAGACAGUGUUUUUGUUCAUUUUCUUGAUCACUAUCCAUAACUUGUGCUGGAUGAGUGCAUGUUAGCCUAGAGCGAGUCACAGAAUCAGAGAAUGGAAUCAUAGAAUUCCAGACAUGACUGCAAGGCCCUAGUACUUGUAUAGCCUGCACGAACAUUAAUAAUGAUUAUUUGCAUUAUGACGGAGCAGGCAACUGAUGCCCAUGUAAAUAGGCCAGAAAAAGACAUUUGUACUUUGGUAGAAAUUGAGCCUGUGAUCCAUUUUACAGUUUUAAAAACAGUGCAACAAGGGUCAGUUCAGCAGUCAUUAAUCCUGAAACAUGAGUGCCAGAAACAAAAGUUGAAAUUGCCAGAAAAACACAUCAGGUCUGAUGGCAUCUGUGGAGACAAAGCAGAGUUAACAUUUCAGGUUCUGUGACCAUUCUUCAGAAUUGUUAGAAACUUGUCCUGACAUUGGGUUGGCUAUUGUUUGGGUGUAUGGGAACAACUCCCUGAAAUUGGUAUCAGUCCUUUACACAGAACACUGAGGGGGCUACAGCCCAUUUUAGAAUUCUUCUGGAUCGGCUAUGAACAGACCAGACACUGCAUUUGUUCUCCUCAGAUCCAGCUUGGAAGAAGAAGCAGCUGCUACCAAAAACAUAAAUUUGUUUUUUACACAGGUUUGGUAUGGAGGCAGAAAGAACAGGACUGCUACUGCUGGUCUCCAAAUGUCCUCCGCCCCAUUCCCUCCCACCGCAUAUUUCCUGCAUUCACCUGUGGGUUUCUGCUUGCAAAACACAGCCAAAAAUUGAUCUAUGGUAAUAGCAUGAGAUGGCUUGAAAUAUCAACAGACACCAAAAGCUUAACCAGUUUUUGAAAUGAGGCCUGAGGAUUAAUUUCACGUGAGAUUUGUGCCUUCUAGUCAGGAUCUGUGCGCCAUUGGUUACGUGCUUAUUUGAACUAAUUUGUAAUCCAAUGUUUUAAGGAGAGGAUAGAAGAAAAUAAGGCUUGUAGUUACUUCACAUCUAUGUUUAUAGGCCAGUGAUUGUGCACGGCAAGUAAUUCUCAUGAUCUAAAUCAAGAAAAUUCAGAAUACUAAUGAGGUAUUACCAUUUGCAAGAGUUGGUGCUGGACAGGUGGCUUGCUUAGCAGUGUGAUGCCAAUAGUGUGGGUUCAGUCCCCUCACUUGCUGAGUUACCAUGAAGGACUCUCCUCAACCUGUCUCCCCUCAUCUGAGGUAUGCUGGCCACAGGUUAAAUCACCACCAGUUGUCCCUCUCUAAUGAGGGAGCAGCCGUGUGGUCUGGUCAGACUAAUAUUUGCAUUUUCUUUGAAGUUUUGCUUUUCUUAAUUAUUUAAAGAGUUAAUCUUCAAUUGAACUGAGAUAAUACAGUGCUAAUUGUGGUAAAUCUAUCCCACUUGGCACUUUUUAUGCAUCAUUAAAGAAAUAAAAUCAAGCCACCAGGUCAGACUCUUUAUAUAUGAAUCUAACUCUACUUCCUUUUAACAAAAUCAUGCAGCUACUAAUCUAGGACAAUUUUGACCACUAUUCUAAAUGUUUGAAUAGUCAUUAUCACCAUCUUUUUUCUGUUCCCACAAUUUGAGUAUAUUGCAUGUAAUAGUCCAAAGAACUCCUUUGAUGCUUCAGAAAGUUAUCCUGUUGAACCAUAUAGACCUCAGUAAAUCCCAGAUUCAACAUCUGGAUCCUUGCCGAAUUCCUGGUCAGCUACAUCAUUGGUUUGAGGUUCCUUGGGUUAGGAGGAGAAAUAUUAGCAAAGAUCCCCAUUCCUCUUGGCAAUCCAUGUACAUUCUAUGAAGAAUGUACUUAUGUAUAGAAUUUGGUAAUAACUGGAUCAGGAUAACCUCAAGUAGGUCACUGAUGCUCACAUUAUACAUGCAUGAUUCAAAGGUUUCACUGUUUUUUGUUGGGGAGGAACAGCUGGUCUGAUCACUGGGUUUGCAGGCUCAAGCCAGUACAGUUGAGUCACAUCUGACUUCUGAAGUAACUUUGUCAGGUGUUUAGCUGCUUCAUAGUAGUGAUAGAAGAAGCAAGCCCAUCAUAACUUGUUCAGGGCAAGAAGGGAUGGAUAAUAAAUGCCAGCAAGGUAUCUCAAAAUGAAUUAAAGAAAGAUCCUGUUUGGCAUGCUCUUCAGAGAGUCGAUUUGGACUUGAUGGGCCUAAUGGCCUGCUUCCACACUGUAACAAUUAUAUGAUUCUAUGAACAGAACAGUUACUCUUAACAGGAGUUAAUAUCUUGGCUAAAACAGGGAAAAUUGAGACAGGAAAAGAAUACACAAACAUAUAUUAUGUUCAUAUGCAGGUUAAAUUUCAGGAAUAGAUUCUUUCUUUUCACUUUAAACAUCUUUCAUCAAAAAAAAAGACAAUUUGGCAUAAAACGUUUACACUGAGAGUGCAAAAAGGUUGUGGUAGUAGCUCUGAAGUACACAGAAUCUGACUGAAGUCCAGCAUGCCCAUUUAUGCUGCACAUCUGGUAAGUACUCCAACUUUUAGCCCAAGACUAGGCUUGUAUAUGGGCCAUUUUAGAACUUGCAACUUGAAAAGGGUUUACAAAAAAUGUUCUGAAGUUGCAAAUUAGCCGAACAAUUUUUUUGUUGGAGAUAGCAAGAAUUGUAGAUGCUGAAGUCAGAGAUAACACAGUGUGGAGCCGGAGGAACACGGCUGGUCAGGCACCAUCAAAGGAGCAGGAAAGUUGACGUUUCGAAUCGGGACCCUUCUUCAGAAAUGGGGAAGGAGAAGG
This is a long non-coding RNA of Stegostoma tigrinum, 6007 nucleotides long. RefSeq lists it as uncharacterized. NCBI's taxonomy places the organism in Eukaryota, Metazoa, Chordata, Chondrichthyes, Orectolobiformes, Stegostomatidae. The record is from RefSeq and is a predicted model, not a curated record. The transcript has 9 exons.